RNAcentral lists this unclassified non-coding RNA (404 nucleotides) under Dolichospermum flos-aquae. RNAcentral describes it as "partial contains 16S ribosomal RNA gene, partial sequence; 16S-23S ribosomal RNA intergenic spacer, complete sequence; and 23S ribosomal RNA gene, partial sequence". The stretch from base 1 to 100 matches the Rfam family "Bacterial small subunit ribosomal RNA", at positions 1434 to 1533 of the family's 1533-position model. Lineage: Bacteria; Bacillati; Cyanobacteriota; Cyanophyceae; Nostocales; Aphanizomenonaceae. The record is from RNAcentral.
CCCAACCGAGAGGAGGGGGAUGCCUAAGGUAGGACUGAUGACUGGGGUGAAGUCGUAACAAGGUAGCCGUACCGGAAGGUGUGGCUGGAUCACCUCCUUUUAGGGAGACCUAAUCCAUUUAGAAAUCGAAAACAAUGAAAAUUGUCAAUAGAAACUAAAUUGGUCUAACCUAGGUCGUUCGAGAUUGGUAGACAUCUUUCAAAGUAUUAUUCGGCUUCGUUCAAAACCAUAUAUAAUAAAUGGAAAAAGACAGCACCUAAUUGUCAAAGUUAGACUGCUGGAUGAAAUUCCAGCCAGAACCUUGAAAACUGCAUAAGAGAACAAGAAAAAGCAGGCAGACACAGACAUUUAGAUGGAUGUGAAAGCAAAAGAAAUUGUGGUCAAGCUAAUAAGGGCUAAUGGUG